UUUCGGUUCGUAAACCUCUUUUGGCAGGGAAAGAAACAUUCCGACAAUAACUACGUUGGAACUGACGGUACCUGCAGAAUCAGCCACGGCUAACCUCCGCGC
This 102-nucleotide ribosomal RNA is filed under the name uncultured bacterium. Its description in RNAcentral is "partial 16S ribosomal RNA". The record is from RNAcentral.